RNAcentral lists this ribosomal RNA (346 nucleotides) under uncultured eukaryote. RNAcentral's name for it is "SSU rRNA". It matches the Rfam family "Eukaryotic small subunit ribosomal RNA", at positions 594 to 945 of the family's 1831-position model. The record is from RNAcentral.
AUAGCGUAUAUUAAAGUUGUUGCAGUUAAAAAGCUCGUAGUUGAACCUUGGGCCUGGCUGGCCGGUCCGUCUCAUCGCGUGUACUGGUCCGGCUGGGCCUUUCCUUCUGGCUAGGCACAUGCCCUUUACUGGGUGUGUGUCCGAACCAGGACUUUUACUUUGAAAAAAUUAGAGUGUUCAAAGCAGGCAUAUGCUCGAAUACAUUAGCAUGGAAUAAUAGAAUAGGACGUGUGGUUCUAUUUUGUUGGUUUCUAGGACCGAAGUAAUGAUUAAUAGGGAUAGUUGGGGGCAUUAGUAUUUAAUUGUCAGAGGUGAAAUUCUUGGAUUUAUGAAAGACUAACUUCUG